AAAACUAUGUAGCAAGGUUAUAGAGUAUGAUCCUUGUAAUGUCAAAGCUCUAUUCAGAAGGGCUCAAGCAUAUCUAAGAAUCAAUGAGCUGGAAAAGGCUGAAAUUGAUAUUAACAAAGCUCUUGAAGUUGAUCCAACCAAUAGAGAUGUGAAGGUGAUGUACAAGGAACUGAAGAAUAAGCAGAAGCAAUAUACACAACAAGAAGUUGA
RNAcentral lists this unclassified non-coding RNA (210 nucleotides) under Hevea brasiliensis (rubber tree). Lineage: Eukaryota; Viridiplantae; Streptophyta; Magnoliopsida; Malpighiales; Euphorbiaceae. The record is from RNAcentral.